GUGCUCACUUCACCAGCACAUAUACUAAAAUUGGAAAGAUACAAAGAAGAUUAGCAUGGCCCCUGCUCAAGGAUGACAUGCAAAUUCAUGAGCAUUCCAUAAUAAAU
This 107-nucleotide small nuclear RNA is filed under the name Vulpes vulpes (red fox). Lineage: Eukaryota; Metazoa; Chordata; Mammalia; Carnivora; Canidae. The record is from RNAcentral.